UAACACAUGCAAGUCGAAGGAGAAGGUAGCUGCUUGCAGCUACUGGAGACUGGCGGACGGGUGAGUAACGCGUAGAUAACCUGCCUAUAUCUGGGGGAUAACAUCUCGAAAGGGGUGCUAAUACCGCAUAAUGCAGCGGGGCCGCAUGGCCACAGUUGUUAAAAGUUUCGGCUGGAUAUAGAGGGGUCUGCGUACUAUUAGUUAGUUGGUGAGGUAACGGCUUACCAAGGCGAUGAUAGUUAGGGGGUCUGAGAGGAUGAUCCCCCACACUGGGACUGAGACACGGCCCAGACUCCUACGGGAGGCAGCAGUGAGGAAUCUUGCGCAAUGGGCGAAAGCCUGACGCAGCCACGCCGC
This 357-nucleotide ribosomal RNA is filed under the name uncultured Cytophagales bacterium. RNAcentral's name for it is "bacterial SSU rRNA". It matches the Rfam family "Bacterial small subunit ribosomal RNA", at positions 49 to 400 of the family's 1533-position model. Lineage: Bacteria; Pseudomonadati; Bacteroidota; Sphingobacteriia; Sphingobacteriales. The record is from RNAcentral.